CAGUAGCCGCGGUAAUGCGAAGGGUGCAAGCGUUAAUCGGAAUUACUGGGCGUAAAGCGUGCGUAGGCGGUUUGUUAAGUCUGUUGUGAAAUCCCCGGGCUCAACCUGGGAAUGGCAAUGGAUACUGGCAAGCUAGAGUGUGUCAGAGGAUGGUGGAAUUCCCGGUGUAGCGGUGAAAUGCGUAGAGAUCGGGAGGAACAUCAGUGGCGAAGGCGGCCAUCUGGGACAACACUGACGCUGAGGCACGAAAGCGUGGGGAGCAAACAGGAUUAGAUACCCCUGUAGUCCCUGUCUCUUAUAC
RNAcentral lists this ribosomal RNA (301 nucleotides) under uncultured bacterium. RNAcentral describes it as "partial 16S ribosomal RNA". It matches the Rfam family "Bacterial small subunit ribosomal RNA", at positions 509 to 807 of the family's 1533-position model. The record is from RNAcentral.